CGUAGAACAUUAAUCGUUGAACAAACGAACCUUGGUAGCGGCUUCACCACCGGGGUGUUCUGAUCCAACAUCGAGGUCGUAAACCCCCUUGGUGAUAUGGACUCUUGAAGGGGAUGGCGCUGUUAUCCCUGGGGUAACUUGGUUCGAUGAUCAGUUUUACUGGGUCAGAAAAACCACAGGUUCCAGUGGGCUUGUAGGCCUUUUGGCGAGGUUAGUCUGGUUUCAUGGAGUUCUGUUUUUCUCCGUAGUCGCCCCAACUUAAAGCUGUGGUACUAUGCUAGGCUGUCGGUGUCUGGGGUGGGUCUAUUAGUUUUAAGCUUAAUAAGCUCCACAGGGUCUUUUCGUCUUGCGUGGGUAUCUCAGCUUUUGUACUGAGAGAUCAGUUUCAUAGGCUGGCUAUAGGAGACAGUUGGACCCUCAUGUGACCAUUCAUACAGGUCCUUAAUUAGAGGACAGGUGAUUACGCUACCUUUGCACGGUUAUGAUACCGCGGCCGUUAAAU
RNAcentral lists this ribosomal RNA (502 nucleotides) under Pachydactylus kochii. RNAcentral's name for it is "partial 16S ribosomal RNA". Lineage: Eukaryota; Metazoa; Chordata; Lepidosauria; Squamata; Gekkonidae. The record is from RNAcentral.